UUAUGGAGGGUUUGAUCCUGGCUCAGGGUUAACGCUAGCAGCGUGCCUUAGCCAUGCAAGUCGUGCGGGCUGGGGGCAACCCCAGUCAGCGGCGGACGGCGGAGUAACACGUGACUAACCUGCCCCUAGGAGGGGGAUAACCCACCGAAAGGUGGGCUAAUACCCCGUACUGUGGAUGGGUGAAAUUCCCAUCCAUGAAAGGGGGCCUUUUUGGCUCCCGCCUAGGGAGGGGGUCGCGGCCCAUCAGCUAGUUGGUGGGGUAAAAGCCCACCAAGGCUAUGACGGGUAGCCGGCGUGAGAGCGCGGCCGGCCCGAGGGGCACUGAGACACGGGCCCCACCCCUACGGGGGGCAGCAGGCUGGAAAUUUGGGCAAUGGGGGAAACCCUGACCCAGCGACGCUGCGUGCGGGAUGAAGCCCUUCGGGGUGUAAACCGCUGUCGGGGAGGACGAAGGUACAAGUGGCUAAUAUCCACUUGUACUGACGGUACUUCCAGAGGAAGCCCUGGCUAACCUCGUGCCAGCAGCCGCGGUAAUACGGGGAGGGCAAGCGUUACCCGGAAUUACUGGGCUUAAAGGGGAGGUAGGCGGUUAGGAAAGUCCAGUGUGUAAUCCUGCGGCUCAACCGCAGGGCUGCACUGGAUACUACCUAACUAGAGGGCGCCAGAGGAGAGCGGAACUCCCGGUGUAGCGGUGAAAUGCGUAGAUAUCGGGGGGAACACCAGUGGCGAAAGCGGCUCUCUGGGGCGUCCCUGACGCUGAACUCCGAAGGCUGGGGGAGCAAAGGGGAUUAGAUACCCCUGUAGUCCCAGCUGUAAACGAUGUGGGCUAGACAUUGGUCCCUUUUGGGAUCAGUGUCGCAGGGAAACCGUUAAGCCCACCGCCUGGGGACUACGCCCGCAAGGGUGAAACUCAAAGGAAUUGGCGGGGGCCCGCACAAGUGGCGGAGCGCGUGGUUUAAUUCGAUGCUGACCGAAGAACCUCACCUGGGCUUGACAUGCUGGUGGUACCUCGGUGGAAACACUGGGGGACCCCUUCGGGGGAGCCAGCACAGGUGCUGCACGGCUGUCGUCAGCUCGUGCCGUGAGGUGUUGGGUUAAGUCCCGCAACGAGCGCAACCCCUGCCCUUAGUUGCCAGCAGCACUCACGUGGUGGCUGGGCACUCUAAGGGGACUGCCCUCGAUGAGAGGGAGGAAGGAGGGGAUGACGUCAAGUCCGUGUGGCCCUUAUGCCCAGGGCUACACACGCGCUACAAUGGCGGCUACAGUGGGAUGCAAGCCCGCGAGGGUGAGCAAAUCCCUAAAAGCCGCCUCAGUUCGGAUUGCAGGCUGCAACUCGCCUGCAUGAAGACGGAGUCACUAGUAAUCGCCUAUCAGCUAUGGGGCGGUGAAUACGUUCUCGGGCCUUGCACACACCGCCCGUCACGCCACGGGAGUCGGGGGUACCCAGAGUCCCACUCUAAUAAGUGGGAUGAGGGUAAACCCGGCGACUGGGGCGAAGUCGUAACAAGGUAGCCGUACGGGAACGUGCGGCUGGAUCACCUCCUUU
RNAcentral lists this ribosomal RNA (1546 nucleotides) under bacterium. RNAcentral's name for it is "bacterial SSU rRNA". It matches the Rfam family "Bacterial small subunit ribosomal RNA". The record is from RNAcentral.